This 460-nucleotide ribosomal RNA is filed under the name uncultured bacterium. Its description in RNAcentral is "partial 16S ribosomal RNA". It matches the Rfam family "Bacterial small subunit ribosomal RNA", at positions 338 to 795 of the family's 1533-position model. The record is from RNAcentral.
CCUACGGGCGGCAGCAGUGAGGAAUAUUGGUCAAUGGACGAGAGUCUGAACCAGCCAAGUCGCGUGAAGGAUGACUGCCCUAUGGGUUGUAAACUUCUUUUAUAUGGGAAUAAAAUGUUCCACGUGUGGGAUUUUGUAUGUACCAUAUGAAUAAGGAUCGGCUAACUCCGUGCCAGCAGCCGCGGUAAUACGGUGGAUCCGAGCGGUAUCCGGAGUUAUUGGGUUUAAAGGGAGCGUAGGUGGAUUGUUAAGUCAGUCGGGAAAGGUUGGGGCUCAACCGUAAAAGUGCAGUUGAAACUGGCAGUCUUGAGGAGAGGAGAGGUGGGCGGAAUGCGUGGUGUAGCGGUGAAAUGCUUAGAUAUCACGAAGAACUCCGAUUGCGAAGGCAGCAUACUGGCCCGCAACUGACACUGAGGCUCGAAAGUGUGGGUAUCAAACAGGAUUAGAUACCCCUGUAGUC